UACGUAGGUCCCGAGCGUUGUCCGGAUUUAUUGGGCGUAAAGCGAGCGCAGGUGGUUUAUUAAGUCUGGUGUAAAAGGCAGUGGCUCAACCAUUGUAUGCAUUGGAAACUGGUAGACUUGAGUGCAGGAGAGGAGAGUGGAAUUCCAUGUGUAGCGGUGAGAUGCGUAGAUAUAUGGAGGAGCACCGGUGGCGAAAGCGGCUCUCUGGCCUGUAACUGACACUGAGGCUCGAAAGCGUGGGGAGCAAACAGG
Molecule: ribosomal RNA, 252 nt
Filed under: uncultured bacterium
Lineage: Bacteria
Description: partial 16S ribosomal RNA
Rfam family: Bacterial small subunit ribosomal RNA
Source: RNAcentral